Molecule: ribosomal RNA, 406 nt
Filed under: uncultured bacterium
Lineage: Bacteria
Description: partial 16S ribosomal RNA
Rfam family: Bacterial small subunit ribosomal RNA
Source: RNAcentral
AUUGAACGCUGGCGGCAGGCCUAACACAUGCAAGUCGAACGAGUGGCGGACGGGUGAGUAAUGUCUGGUAAACUGCCUGAUGGAGGGGGAUAACUACUGGAAACGGUAGCUAAUACCGCAUACCAUCAGAUGUGCCCAGAUGGGAUUAGCUAGUUGGUGGGGUAACGGCUCACCAAGGGGACGAUCCCUAGCUGGUCUGAGAGGAUGACCAGCAACACUGAAACUGAGACACGGUCCAGACUCCUACGGGAGGCAGGAGUGGGGAAUAUUGCACAAUGGGAGCAAGACUGAUGCAGCCAUGCCGCGUGUAUGAAUAAGGCCUUCGGGUUGUAAAGUACUUUCAGCGGAGAGGCGUUACCCGAAGAAGAAGCACCGGCUAAAUACGUGCCAGCAGCCGCGGUAAUAC